UGGGGAAUUUUGGACAAUGGGGGAAACCCUGAUCCAGCCAUCCCGCGUGUGCGAUGAAGGCCUUCGGGUUGUAAAGCACUUUUGGCAGGAAAGAAACGUCGCGGGUUAAUACCCCGCGAAACUGACGGUACCUGCAGAAUAAGCACCGGCUAACUACGUGCCAGCAGCCGCGGUAAUACGUAGGGUGCAAGCGUUAAUCGGAAUUACUGGGCGUAAAGCGUGCGCAGGCGGUUCGGAAAGAAAGAUGUGAAAUCCCAGAGCUUAACUUUGGAACUGCAUUUUUAACUACCGGGCUAGAGUGUGUCAGAGGGAGGUGGAAUUCCGCGUGUAGCAGUGAAAUGCGUAGAUAUGCGGAGGAACACCGAUGGCGAAGGCAGCCUCCUGGGAUAACACUGACGCUCAUGCACGAAAGCGUGGGGAGCAAACAGGAUUAGAUACCCUGGUAGUCCACGCCCUAAAACGAUGUCAACUAGCUGUUGGGGCCUUCGGGCCUUGGUAGCGCAGCUAACGCGUGAAGUUGACCGCCUGGGGAGUACGGUCGCAAGAUUAAAAACUCAAAUGAAUUGC
RNAcentral lists this ribosomal RNA (567 nucleotides) under uncultured bacterium. RNAcentral describes it as "partial 16S ribosomal RNA". It matches the Rfam family "Bacterial small subunit ribosomal RNA", at positions 355 to 913 of the family's 1533-position model. The record is from RNAcentral.